AUUGAACGCUGGCGGCAGGCCUAACACAUGCAAGUCGAGCGGAUGAAGGGAGCUUGCUCCUGGAUUCAGCGGCGGACGGGUGAGUAAUGCCUAGGAAUCUGCCUGGUAGUGGGGGAUAACGUCCGGAAACGGGCGCUAAUACCGCAUACGUCCUGAGGGAGAAAGUGGGGGAUCUUCGGACCUCACGCUAUCAGAUGAGCCUAGGUCGGAUUAGCUAGUUGGUGGGGUAAAGGCCUACCAAGGCGACGAUCCGUAACUGGUCUGAGAGGAUGAUCAGUCACACUGGAACUGAGACACGGGCCAGACUCCUACGGGAGGCAGCAGUGGGGAAUAUUUGACAAUGGGCGAAAGCCUGAUCCAGCCAUGCCGCGUGUGUGAAGAAGGGCUUCGGAUUGUAAAGCACUUUAAGUUGGGAGGAAGGGCAGUAAGUUAAUACCUUGCUGUUUUGACGUUACCAACAGAAUAAGCACCGGCUAACUUCGUG
Molecule: ribosomal RNA, 484 nt
Filed under: uncultured bacterium
Lineage: Bacteria
Description: partial 16S ribosomal RNA
Rfam family: Bacterial small subunit ribosomal RNA
Source: RNAcentral